CCUACGGGGCGCUGCAGUGGGGAAUAUUGGACAAUGGGCGAAAGCCUGAUCCAGCCAUGCCGCGUGUGUGAAGAAGGCCUUCGGGUUGUAAAGCACUUUCAGUGGGGAAGAAAGCCUUGGGGCUAAUACCCUCGAGGAAGUACAUCACCCACAGAAGAAGCACCGGCUAACUCCGUGCCAGCAGCCGCGGUAAUACGGAGGGUGCGAGCGUUAAUCGGAAUUACUGGGCGUAAAGCGCGCGUAGGCGGUCUGAUAAGCCGGUUGUGAAAGCCCCGGGCUCAACCUGGGAACGGCAUCCGGAACUGUCAGGCUAGAGUGCAGGAGAGGAAGGUAGAAUUCCCGGUGUAGCGGUGAAAUGCGUAGAGAUCGGGAGGAAUACCAGUGGCGAAGGCGGCCUUCUGGACUGACACUGACGCUGAGGUGCGAAAGCGUGGGUAGCAAACAGGAUUACAUACCCCGGUAGUC
RNAcentral lists this ribosomal RNA (465 nucleotides) under Vreelandella stevensii. RNAcentral's name for it is "partial 16S ribosomal RNA". It matches the Rfam family "Bacterial small subunit ribosomal RNA", at positions 338 to 795 of the family's 1533-position model. Lineage: Bacteria; Pseudomonadati; Pseudomonadota; Gammaproteobacteria; Oceanospirillales; Halomonadaceae. The record is from RNAcentral.